UUCUGUCAUAGUAAAAGUUGAACUUGUUUACAAAAUAAAUUGUAAAGUUUCCUAUUGGGUGGCAUUGGUAGGCAGCUACCUUGCCAUUGCACUUAAUGAAGCCACUUCCAACCCAGAGCAGACUCCAUGGCAACCACGAUGUCGUCAAUCCUUUGUCUUGGUCUCUGUGUGGUCUGGAGUAUGGUGCUGGAAUGUCAUGGGAGAUGGCGGAUGUCAGAUCUGUUUCCAUUCGCUGACAGUUGCAACACCGUGGAAUUAACCGAGAUAGGAUCGCAAAAUUAACUUAAAAAUGUGAUUUGAAAUGGGUGCUUGAACUCGAGUUGAGGUGGCGGAAAAUUCAUAAAGAAAUUGGCAGAGAUUUUAGGUUUCAUAUGAAUUAAGUGGAUAAA
This is a long non-coding RNA of Drosophila kikkawai, 389 nucleotides long. RefSeq lists it as uncharacterized. Lineage: Eukaryota; Metazoa; Arthropoda; Insecta; Diptera; Drosophilidae. The record is from RefSeq and is a predicted model, not a curated record.